This 492-nucleotide ribosomal RNA is filed under the name uncultured bacterium. RNAcentral's name for it is "partial 16S ribosomal RNA". It matches the Rfam family "Bacterial small subunit ribosomal RNA", at positions 29 to 507 of the family's 1533-position model. The record is from RNAcentral.
AGUGAACGCUGGCGGUAGGCCUAACACAUGCAAGUCGAACGGCAGCACAGUAAGAGCUUGCUCUUACGGGUGGCGAGUGGCGGACGGGUGAGGAAUACAUCGGCAUCUACUUUUUCGUGGGGGAUAACGUAGGGAAACUUACGCUAAUACAGCAUACGACCUACGGGUGAAAGCAGGGGAUCUUCGGACCUUGCGCGAUUGAAUGAGCCGAUGUCGGAUUAGCUAGUUGGCGGGGUAAAGGCCCACCAAGUCGACGAACCGUAGCUGCACUGAGAGGAUGAUCAGCCACACUGGAACCGAGACACGGUCCAGACUCCUACGGGAGGCAGCAGUGGGGAAUAUUGGACAAUGGGCGCAAGCGUGAACCAGCCAUACCGCGUGGGUGAAGAAGGCCUUCGGGUUGUAAAGCCCUUUUGUUGGGAAAGAAAAGCAGCAGAAGAAUACACCGCCGUCCUGACGGUACCCAAAGAAUAAGCACCGGCUAACUUCGUG